AACGAACGCUGGCGGCAUGCCUAACACAUGCAAGUCGAACGGGAUCCUGGUUUCGGCCAGGUGAGAGUGGCGGACGGGUGAGUAACACGUGGGAAUCUGCCUUUUGGUUCGGGAUAACCGCGGGAAACUGCGGCUAAUACCGAAUGCCCUCGCGAGAGGAAAGAUUUAUCGCCAGAAGAGGAGCCCGCGUCCGAUUAGGUAGUUGGUGGGGUAAUGGCCUACCAAGCCGACGAUCGGUAGCUGGUCUGAGAGGAUGAUCAGCCACACUGGGACUGAGACACGGCCCAGACUCCUACGGGAGGCAGCAGUGGGGAAUCUUGGACAAUGGGCGCAAGCCUGAUCCAGCCAUGCCGCGUGAGUGAAGAAGGUCUUCGGAUUGUAAAGCUCUUUUACCAGGGACGAUAAUGACGGUACCUGGAGAAUAAGCCCCGGCAAACUUCGUG
RNAcentral lists this ribosomal RNA (443 nucleotides) under uncultured bacterium. RNAcentral's name for it is "bacterial SSU rRNA". It matches the Rfam family "Bacterial small subunit ribosomal RNA", at positions 29 to 507 of the family's 1533-position model. The record is from RNAcentral.